CAGAGGGUGCGAGCGUUAAUCGGAAUUACUGGGCGUAAAGGGUGCGUAGGUGGUUUGUUAAGUUAGAUGUGAAAGUCCUGGGCUUAACCUGGGGACUGCAUUUAAUACUGGCGAGCUAGAGUACUGUAGAGGGAAGUGGAAUUUCCGGUGUAGCGGUGAAAUGCAUAGAUAUCGGAAGGAACAUCAGUGGCGAAGGCGACUUUCUGGACAGAUACUGACACUGAGGCACGAAAGCGUGGGGAGCAAACAGGAUUAGAUACCCUGGUAGUCCAUGCUGUAAACGAUGAAGACUGGCUGUUGGUUGCCUAAGGGCAAUUAGUAGCGAAGCAAACGCGUUAAGUCUUCCGCCUGGGGAGUACGGCCGCAAGGUUA
RNAcentral lists this ribosomal RNA (372 nucleotides) under uncultured organism. RNAcentral's name for it is "bacterial SSU rRNA". It matches the Rfam family "Bacterial small subunit ribosomal RNA", at positions 526 to 896 of the family's 1533-position model. The record is from RNAcentral.